RNAcentral lists this long non-coding RNA (675 nucleotides) under Salmo salar (Atlantic salmon). RNAcentral describes it as "lncRNA (ENSSSAG00000087010.1)". Lineage: Eukaryota; Metazoa; Chordata; Actinopteri; Salmoniformes; Salmonidae. The record is from RNAcentral.
GUGGCUAUCAUACAGAACCACACAUCCUGUUGCAAGCUUUGACGUAAUCACUCAAGGCAAGGCAAACUCUCAUCGACAAGCAGCAAAAGCAAAGAUGGUUCUGUGCUAUGUACUGGAUUGUAACCACCACUCCGUGCAUUUUAUCGUUUUUGACCUCUGUAAGCGAGAGUCGUUGCUGGAGCUGUGUGACAAGAGUCAGAGAAUGCCCCUGGCAUCAUGUCUGCAAGAAGGAGUACUCUUAGUCAUCCAAUCAAGUGUGUCCCUGAAAAGGCUAUGGGCAUGUGUGGCCCUUCACCUACCUGUCCUCCACGGAUGAAGCUCAUGAGCCAAACGCAAGAUACAUGCCUCCCGCUUUUGCUGGCACACCCCUCCCUUCUGGCAACUACCAACAUGGAUGGUUGUGGCAGGGGACAACAACCUCAAGAGCCAGGGAGACCCUCUUGUGCCAGGGCGGCAUGGCUUAAAGGACGUCUUGUGCCAAGGCAGGAAGACAUGGUUAGGAGAGAACAACAACCCAAGGCCACACAUUCAUGCAGAAUAGGCCUUUCUUUGGACUGCUCACACAAACUCCUUGAGGGACACACAGACUCAGUAAUUUGUGUGCACAGUGAACCAAAGUACUACAUUUGUACUAAAAUGUAGAGUUUUAAUCUUGUUAAUAAAAUGAAACCUGAU